GGUUGUGGCUUAGUGGUAGAGCGCUUGCCUAGCAUGCGUGAGGCACUGGGUUGGAUCCCCGACACCA
This 67-nucleotide transfer RNA is filed under the name Marmota monax (woodchuck). RNAcentral's name for it is "tRNA.Ala". Lineage: Eukaryota; Metazoa; Chordata; Mammalia; Rodentia; Sciuridae. The record is from RNAcentral.